Molecule: long non-coding RNA, 2040 nt
Organism: Oncorhynchus keta (chum salmon)
Lineage: Eukaryota; Metazoa; Chordata; Actinopteri; Salmoniformes; Salmonidae
Exons: 6
Source: RefSeq, a predicted model, not a curated record
GAACAGGCUGCAGGAAUUAGAGGGGUGAGAAAGGAAGAGGAUAGGAGACUGUGUACUAGGUUACCUCAGACCAGACUGGAGGACUUGGCAGAGAGAAGGAGAAGAGGAUAGGAGACUGUGUACUAGGUUACCUCAGACCAGGCUGGAGGACUUGGCAGAGAGAAGGAGAAGAGGAUAGGAGACUGUGUACUAGGUUACCUCAGACCAGACUGGAGGACUUGGCAGAGAGAAGGAGAAGAGGAUAGGAGACUGUGUACUAGGUUACCUCAGACCAGGCUGGAGGACUUGGCAGAGAGAAGGAGAAGAGGAUAGGAGACUGUGUACUAGGUUACCUCAGACCAGGCUGGAGGACUUGGCAGAGAGAAGGAGAAGAGGAUAGGAGACUGUGUACUAGGUUACCUCAGACCAGGCUGGAGGACUUGGCAGAGAGAAGGAGAAGAGGAUAGGAGACUGUGUACUAGGUUACCUCAGACCAGGCUGGAGGACUUGGCAGAGAGAAGGAGAAGAGGAUAGGAGACUGUGUACUAGGUUACCUCAGACCAGACUGGAGGACUUGGCAGAGAGGAGAAGAGGAUAGGAGACUGUGUACUAGGUUACCUCAGACCAGACUGGAGGACUUGGCAGAGAGAAGAGGAUAGGAGACUGUGUACUAGGUUACCUCAGACCAGACUGGAGGACUUGGCAGAGAGGAGAAGAGGAUAGGAGACUGUGUACUAGGUUACCUCAGACCAGACUGGAGGACUUGGCAGAGAGAAGAGGAUAGGAGACUGUGUACUAGGUUACCUCAGACCAGACUGGAGGACUUGGCAGAGAGAAGAGGAUAGGAGACUGUGUACUGGGUUACCUCAGACCAGACUGGAGGACUUGGUAGAGAGAAGGAGAAGAGGAUAGGAGACUGUGUACUAGGUUACCUCAGACCAGGCUGGAGGACUUGGCAGAGAGAAGAGGAUAGGAGACUGUGUACUAGGUUACCUCAGACCAGACUGGAGGACUUGGUAGAGAGAAGGAGAAGAGGAUAGGAGACUGUGUACUAGGUUACCUCAGACCAGACUGCAGGACUUGGCAGAGAGAAGGAGAAGAGGAUAGGAGACUGUGUACUAGGUUACCUCAGACCAGACUGGAGGACUUGGCAGAGAGAAGGAGAAGAGGAUAGGAGACUGUGUACUAGGUUACCUCAGACCAGACUGGAGGACUUGGUAGAGAGAAGGAGAAGAGGAUAGGAGACUGUGUACUAGGUUACCUCAGACCAGACUGGAGGACUUGGCAGAGAGAAGGAGAAGAGGAUAGGAGACUGUGUACUGGGUUACCUCAGACCAGACUGCAGGACUUGGCAGAGAGAAGGAGAAGAGGAUAGGAGACUGUGUACUAGGUUACCUCAGACCAGGCUGCAGGACUUGGCAGAGAGAAGGAGAAGAGGAUAGGAGACUGUGUACUAGGUUACCUCAGACCAGACUGCAGGACUUGGCAGAGAGAAGGAGAAGAGGAUAGGAGACUGUGUACUAGGUUACCUCAGACCAGACUGGAGGACUUGGCAGAGAGGAGAAGAGGAUAGGAGACUGUGUACUAGGUUACCUCAGACCAGGCUGCAGGACUUGGUAGAGAGAAGGAGAAGAGGAUAGGAGACUGUGUACUAGGUUACCUCAGACCAGGCUGGAGGACUUGGCAGAGAGAAGGAGAAGAGGAUAGGAGACUGUGUACUAGGUUACCUCAGACCAGGCUGGAGGACUUGGCAGAGAGAGGUAAUAAUGUUUUUUUUGGGGGGCUUAUAUUUGUCCUGUUACACACGUGUGUAAUGUAAAUGUGUUUCUUGCAUAUCCCAACUCCCCCUGUGGGGUCACAACCAGGGUCACCAUUGUACAGCACCCCUGGAGUAAUUUGGGUUAAGUGCCUUGCUCAAGGGUACAGCGGCAGAUUUUUCACCUUGUCGGCUCCGGUGUCCGAACCAGUGACCUUUUGGUUAUUGGUCCAAUGCUCUAACCUCGAGGUGACCUGCCGAGAAGAGGAGGAAGAGGAGGGGAGAGGAGAGGACAAAGGUGUUCU